AUUGAACGCUGGCGGCAGGCCUAACACAUGCAAGUCGAGCGGAUGAAGGGAGCUUGCUCCUGGAUUCAGCGGCGGACGGGUGAGUAAUGCCUAGGAAUCUUCCUGGUAGUGGUGGAUAACGUCCGGAAACGGGCGCUAAUACCGCAUACGUCCUGAGGGAGAAAUUGGGGGAUCUUCGGACUUCACGCUAUCAGAUGAGCCUAGGCCGGAUUAGCUAGUUGGUGGGGUAAAGGCCUACCAAGGCGACGAUCCGUAACUGGUCUGAGAGGAUGAUCAGUCACAGUGGAACUGAGAGACGGUACAGACUCCUACGGGAGGCAGCAGUGGGGAAUAUUGGACAAUGGGCGAAAGCUUGAUCCAGCCAUGCCGCGUGGGUGAAGAAGGUCUUCGGAUUGUAAAGCACUUUAAGUUGGGAGGAAGGGCAGUAAGUUAAUACCUUGCUGUUUUGACGUUACCAACAGAAUAAGCACCGGCUAACUUCGUG
RNAcentral lists this ribosomal RNA (484 nucleotides) under uncultured bacterium. RNAcentral's name for it is "partial 16S ribosomal RNA". It matches the Rfam family "Bacterial small subunit ribosomal RNA", at positions 30 to 507 of the family's 1533-position model. The record is from RNAcentral.